AGAGUUUGAUCCUGGCUCAGGACGAACGCUGGCGGCGGGCCUAAUACAUGCAAGUGGAACGCAUGAUUGAUACCGUAGCUUGCUACACCUAAUCAUGAGUCGCGAACGGGUGAGUAACGCGUAGGUAACCUGCCUACUAGCGGGGGAUAACUAUUGGAAACGAUAGCUAAUACCGCAUAAGAGUUUUUAACACAUGUUAGAAAUUUAAAAGGAGCAAAUGCUUCACUAGUAGAUGGACCUGCGUUGUAUUAGCUAGUUGGUAAGGUAACGGCUUACCAAGGCGACGAUACAUAGCCGACCUGAGAGGGUGAUCGGCCACACUGGGACUGAGACACGGCCCAGACUCCUACGGGAGGCAGCAGUAGGGAAUCUUCGGCAAUGGGGGGAACCCUGACCGAGCAACGCCGCGUGAGUGAAGAAGGUUUUCGUAUCCCCCCCCUCUGUUGUAAGAGAAGAACGUUAAAAAAAGUAAAGAGUUACUCAAGUGACGGUAUCUUACCAGAAAGGGACGGCUAACUACGUGCCAGCAGCCGCGGUAAUACGUAGGUCCCGAGCGUUGUCCGGAUUUAUUGGGCGUAAAGCGAGCGCAGGCGGCUCUGUAAGUCUGAAGUUAAAGGCAUUGGCUCAACCAAUGUUCGCUUUGGAAACUGCAGGG
RNAcentral lists this ribosomal RNA (655 nucleotides) under uncultured bacterium. RNAcentral's name for it is "bacterial SSU rRNA". It matches the Rfam family "Bacterial small subunit ribosomal RNA", at positions 8 to 640 of the family's 1533-position model. The record is from RNAcentral.